Molecule: ribosomal RNA, 400 nt
Filed under: uncultured bacterium
Lineage: Bacteria
Description: bacterial SSU rRNA
Rfam family: Bacterial small subunit ribosomal RNA
Source: RNAcentral
GGGGAAUAUUGGACAAUGGGCGCAAGCCUGAUCCAGCCAUGCCGCGUGAGUGAUGAAGGCCUUAGGGUUGUAAAGCUCUUUCACCGAUGAAGAUAAUGACGGUAGUCGGAGAAGAAGCCCCGGCUAACUUCGUGCCAGCAGCCGCGGUAAUACGAAGGGGGCUAGCGUUGUUCGGAAUUACUGGGCGUAAAGCGCACGUAGGCGGAUCGGUCAGUUAGGGGUGAAAUCCCAGGGCUCAACCCUGGAACUGCCUUUAAUACUGCCGGUCUUGAGUUCGAGAGAGGUGAGUGGAAUUCCGAGUGUAGAGGUGAAAUUCGUAGAUAUUCGGAGGAACACCAGUGGCGAAGGCGGCUCACUGGCUCGAUACUGACGCUGAGGUGCGAAAGCGUGGGGAGCAAAC